GUGGGGAAUAUUGGACAAUGGGCGAAAGCCUGAUCCAGCCAUGCCGCGUGUGUGAAGAAGGUCUUCGGAUUGUAAAGCACUUUAAGUUGGGAGGAAGGGCAGUAAGUUAAUACCUUGCUGUUUUGACGUUACCGACAGAAUAAGCACCGGCUAACUUCGUGCCAGCAGCCGCGGUAAUACGAAGGGUGCAAGCGUUAAUCGGAAUUACUGGGCGUAAAGCGCGCGUAGGUGGUUUUGUAAGUUGGAGGUGAAAUCCCCGGGCUCAACCUUGGAACUGCCUCCAAAACUGCAUGACUAGAGUACGGUAGAGGGUAGUGGAAUGUCCUGUGUAGCGGUGAAAUGCGUAGAUAUAGGAAGGAACACCAGUGGCGAAGGCGACUACCUGGACUGAUACUGACACUGAGGUGCGAAAGCGUGGGGAGCAAACAGGAUUAGAAACCCGGGUAGUCC
RNAcentral lists this ribosomal RNA (450 nucleotides) under uncultured bacterium. RNAcentral's name for it is "partial 16S ribosomal RNA". It matches the Rfam family "Bacterial small subunit ribosomal RNA", at positions 354 to 796 of the family's 1533-position model. The record is from RNAcentral.